CGCUCUCACCCGCGCGCCUGCAACCCGAGCCGCCGGCUGCCCUGCGCACGCGCGGAGCGGACCGUGACGCGAACGCGCCGGGCGCCCCCUCCCGCGGGACGCCAACACCUGCGCGCAGGCGCAGGAGAGCGGGCGGAGGGCGCGCGCCGACCGAGCCUCGCUAGAGCCGGGCGGGGAAGGAGAGCGCCCACCUGCUGGCUGGAGUGGGGAUAUUGAGAGCAGAUAGGCACUCGUACUGCUCACGUCUGUAUCUGCUUCUCUAAGCACAGUGUUCUGCAGGAAAGAACUAUGGUUGGAGUUGCUAGUGGCAAAGCAGAAGAGGGAGAAACUGUAUCCAAUCCCUUCCAAUUUUAUUCCAGUUCCUUAGAUCUACUCAUGUCGACACAGCACCUCCAGCCGAAGUCGAGGGGAGAAGGUUCUGAGUGUUUGAAGAGCUCUUCCAACACUAAUACUCCCUCUGAAAAUUAACAUAAACAUUGCUUAGGAGUCCUCAGAGAUGUCCUCCCCAAGGAUCGAAGGGCACCGCCCUCAGAACUCAGGGUUUGGGGCAAGGAUCCAGGCACGAUGGGGCCCAACGGCUGCCGCUGAGCGGAAGCCUCAGCUAUGUCCACACUUCUAAAGCUGGAAGAAGUCAUCACAGACAGGGUCUCGGAGAUCCAGGUCUGGCCGAGCAUCUGCCCCAAGAAUCACACUAUGGAAGAAUGGUCCCAAUGGGUCAAAUUAAGAUCCUUAAAGAAUCUGAACACUUGGUACUUCAAAACAGAUGUGAUAAACAGGAACAUGCUGAAGAGAUGGCUCAGCAGUUAAGAGCACUGGCU
Long non-coding RNA from Mastomys coucha (southern multimammate mouse), 818 nucleotides. RefSeq lists it as uncharacterized. The transcript has 6 exons. The record is from RefSeq and is a predicted model, not a curated record. Lineage: Eukaryota; Metazoa; Chordata; Mammalia; Rodentia; Muridae.